UGUCUAAGUACAAACUAUAUUAAAGUGAAACCGCGAAAGGCUCAUUAAAUCAGUUAUGGUUCCUUAGAUCGUACCACAAUUACUUGGAUAACUGUGGUAAUUCUAGAGCUAAUACAUGCAAACAGAGCUCUAACCGGAGACGGAAGGAGUGCUUUUAUUAGAUCAAAACCAAUCGGCGUCGAUAAUAUUUCGGUGUUAUCGUUCGUCGCUUAAAUUAUAUGGUGAAUCUGAAUAACUUUAUGCUGAUCGCAUGGUCUUGUACCGGCGACGCAUCUUUCAAAUGUCUGCCUUAUCAACUGUCGAUGGUAGGAUCUGCGCCUACCAUGGUUGUAACGGGUAACGGGGAAUCAGGGUUCGAUUCCGGAGAGGGAGCCUGAGAAACGGCUACCACAUCCAAGGAAGGCAGCAGGCGCGCAAAUUACCCACUCCCGGCACGGGGAGGUAGUGACGAAAAAUAACGAUACGGGACUCAUCCGAGGCCCCGUAAUCGGAAUGAGUACACUUUAAAUCCUUUAACGAGGACCAAUUGGAGGGCAAGUCUGGUGCCAGCAGCCGCGGUAAUUCCAGCUCCAAUAGCGUAUAUUAAAGUUGUUGCGGUUAAAAAGCUCGUAGUUGAAUUUGUGUCCCGCACUGUCGGUUCACCGCCCGCGGUGUUAACUGGCAUGUUUUUGUGGGACGUCCUGCCGGUGGAUGUAAGUAAUUUUAAAUAUAUAUGUGUAAGGGGGGAUUUAGAAUUAAAAAUUUUUAUCAUCCUUUUAAUCGGGGAUGGUAUGGUUUUUUUCUUUAUCUUUCUUUCUUACUCCUCUAUAUAUUUUUUAUAUUACACAUCCGACUUUUUUUUUAAAUAUAAAUCCUGUCGCGGUGCUCUUAAUUGAGUGUCGAGGCGGGCCGGCACGUUUACUUUGAACAAAUUAAAGUGCUCAAAGCAGGCUUAUAUAUGCCUGAAUAAUUAGUGCAUGGAAUAAUGGAACAGGACCUUGGUUCUAUUUUGUUGGUUUUCGGAACCCCAAGGUAAUGAUUAAUAGGGACAGAUGGGGGCAUUCGUAUUGCGACGUUAGAGGUGAAAUUCUUGGAUCGUCGCAAGACGGACUAAAGCGAAAGCAUUUGCCAAAGAUGUUUUCAUUAAUCAAGAACGAAAGUCAGAGGUUCGAAGGCGAUCAGAUACCGCCCUAGUUCUGACCAUAAACGAUGCCAGCUAGCGAUCCGCCAAAGUUCCUCCGAUGACUUGGCGGGCAGCUUCCGGGAAACCAAAGCUUUUGGGUUCCGGGGGAAGUAUGGUUGCAAAGCUGAAACUUAAAGGAAUUGACGGAAGGGCACCACCAGGAGUGGAGCCUGCGGCUUAAUUUGACUCAACACGGGAAACCUCACCAGGCCCAGACACUGGAAGGAUUGACAGAUUGAGAGCUCUUUCUUGAUUCAGUGGGUGGUGGU
Molecule: ribosomal RNA, 1431 nt
Filed under: Hybothecus flohri
Lineage: Eukaryota; Metazoa; Arthropoda; Insecta; Coleoptera; Carabidae
Description: SSU rRNA
Rfam family: Eukaryotic small subunit ribosomal RNA
Source: RNAcentral